AUACGGAGGAUCCAAGCGUUAUCCGGAAUCAUUGGGUUUAAAGGGUCCGUAGGCGGGUUUGUAAGUCAGUGGUGAAAGUUUUCGGCUCAACCGGAAAAUUGCCAUUGAUACUGCAAGUCUAGAAUCAUUAUGAAGUGGUUAGAAUGUGUAGUGUAGCGGUGAAAUGCAUAGAUAUUACACAGAAUACCGAUUGCGAAGGCAGAUCACUAAUAAUGUAUUGACGCUAAGGGACGAAAGCGUGGGUAGCGAACAGGAUUAGAAACCCUAGUAGUCC
This 274-nucleotide ribosomal RNA is filed under the name uncultured bacterium. RNAcentral describes it as "partial 16S ribosomal RNA". It matches the Rfam family "Bacterial small subunit ribosomal RNA", at positions 523 to 796 of the family's 1533-position model. The record is from RNAcentral.